GACGAACGCUGGCGGCGUGCUUAACACAUGCAAGUCGAACGGAAAGGCCCUGCUUUUGUGGGGUGCUCGAGUGGCGAACGGGUGAGUAACACGUGAGUAGCCUGCCCUUGACUUUGGUAUAACUUCAGGAAACUGGGGCUAAUACCGGAUAGGAGCCCCUGCUGCAUGGUGGGGGUUGGAAAGUUUCGGCGGUUGGGGAUGGACUCGCGGCUUAUCAGCUUGUUGGUGGGGUAGUGGCUUACCAAGGCUUUGACGGGUAGCCGGCCUGAGAGGGUGACCGGCCACAUUGGGACUGAGAUACGGCCCAGACUCCUACGGGAGGCAGCAGUGGGGAAUAUUGCACAAUGGGCGGAAGCCUGAUGCAGCAACGCCGCGUGCGGGAUGACGGCCUUCGGGUGGUAAACCGCUUUCGCCUGUGACGAAGCGUGAGUGACGGUAAUGGGUAAAGAAGCACCGGCUAACUACGUG
This 468-nucleotide ribosomal RNA is filed under the name uncultured bacterium. Its description in RNAcentral is "partial 16S ribosomal RNA". It matches the Rfam family "Bacterial small subunit ribosomal RNA", at positions 28 to 507 of the family's 1533-position model. The record is from RNAcentral.